Molecule: ribosomal RNA, 253 nt
Filed under: uncultured bacterium
Lineage: Bacteria
Description: partial 16S ribosomal RNA
Rfam family: Bacterial small subunit ribosomal RNA
Source: RNAcentral
UACAGAGGGGGCAAGCGUUGUUCGGAAUUACUGGGCGUAAAGGGCGCGUAGGCGGCCUUCUAAGUCAGACGUGAAAUCCCUCGGCUUAACCGAGGAACUGCCUGUCAGACUGGAAGGCUUGAGACCGGGAGAGGUGAGUGGAAUUCCCAGUGUAGCGGUGAAAUGCGUAGAUAUUGGGAGGAACACCGGUGGCGAAGGCGGCAUCCUGGACCGGCAUUGACGCUGAGGAGCGAAAGCUAGGGGAGCAAACGGG